This 482-nucleotide ribosomal RNA is filed under the name uncultured bacterium. RNAcentral's name for it is "bacterial SSU rRNA". It matches the Rfam family "Bacterial small subunit ribosomal RNA", at positions 30 to 506 of the family's 1533-position model. The record is from RNAcentral.
UUGAACGCUGUCGGCAUGCUUUACACAUGCAAGUCGAACGGUAACAGGGAGCUUGCUCCGCUGACGAGUGGCGAACGGGUGAGUAAUGCAUCGGAACGUGCCUAUUUGUGGGGGAUAACGUAGCGAAAGUUACGCUAAUACCGCAUACGCCCUGAGGGGGAAAGUGGGGGAUCGCAAGACCUCACGUUAUUGGAGCGGCAGAUAUCGGAUUAGCUAGUUGGUGGGGUAAAGGCUCACCAAGGCGACGAUCCGUAGCGGGUCUGAGAGGACGGCCCGCCACACUGGAACUGAGACACGGUCCAGACUCCUACGGGAGGCAGCAGUGGGGAAUUUUGGACAAUGGGGGCAACCCUGAUCCAGCCAUUCCGCGUGAGUGAAGAAGGCCUUCGGGUUGUAAAGCUCUUUCGGCAGGAACGAAACGGUGAGCUCUAACAUAGCUUGCUAAUGACGGUACCUGAAGAAGAAGCACCGGCUAACUACGU